RNAcentral lists this ribosomal RNA (460 nucleotides) under uncultured bacterium. Its description in RNAcentral is "partial 16S ribosomal RNA". It matches the Rfam family "Bacterial small subunit ribosomal RNA", at positions 338 to 795 of the family's 1533-position model. The record is from RNAcentral.
UCUACGGGUGGCAGCAGUGAGGAAUAUUGGUCAAUGGCCGGAAGGCUGAACCAGCCAAGCCGCGUGAAGGACGAAGGUGCCAAGCAUUGUAAACUUCUUUUGUCAAGGGACAAAAUCAGGCUCGAGAGCCUGACCGAGGGUACUUGAAGAAAAAGCAUCGGCUAACUCCGUGCCAGCAGCCGCGGUAAUACGGAGGAUGCGAGCGUUAUCCGGAUUUAUUGGGUUUAAAGGGUGCGUAGGCGGUUUGAUAAGUUAGAGGUGAAAUGUCGGGGCUCAACCCCGAAACUGCCUCUAAUACUGUUGGACUAGAGAAUAGUUGCGGUAGGCGGAAUGUAUGGUGUAGCGGUGAAAUGCUUAGAGAUCAUACAGAACACCGAUUGCGAAGGCAGCUUACCAAACUAUAUCUGACGUUGAGGCACGAAAGCGUGGGUAGCAAACAGGAUUAGAUACCCGGGUAGUC